UUCGACCCCCUAGACUAUAUAUACUCUUUCUCCUCCAUCUUUCUAGGGUUAGCAAAGGAUUAGCUCAUAUGUGAGAUAGAGCUUUGCUCAUCCAUUACGGAUCUACUCCACGAGAGAGACCGCGGCCCCUCUACGGAGAAGAUCCACCUUGGAUUCAAGACCUCCUCACGGAGAAGACCUCCAUCAAGACCUCCUUACGGAGAAGAACCGGUUACCUUUGUAUCGUCCUUUGUUGGAUUUGGAUCUUGUAUCUUACCUUUGUGUUCAUCGAUCUAGCGCAUGUGUGAUCUAUUCUUGUUGGUUGAGUGAUUUCUCUCGUGUUCCCCUCGUGUUUCCCUCGUGUUUCCCCUCGUGUUCAUCAUGUUCUUCGUAGGGAUCCGCUCCUUUCGUGAAAGAUCGGCCAUCUAGGGUUCCACCCUGCAUCAUGUUGGUAUCAUGAGCCACGUUGAUCACGAUUUCGGAGCCUCCCCGUUGUGUUUUCUAGCCUAGUUUUGUUGAUUUUGUCCCAAAAUUCGAAAAUCCCCACCAAAAAAUAGCCCCUAAUUUUUUUUAUGAUUUGUUGGUUUGAUGAUGUUUUGUUGAAUUUGAUCCGUGGAUUUGCUUUGUUACUUGUGGAUCUAGCUUUCCCCCAAUUUUCCCCACUUUCCAUCCACGAAAUCUCUCCAAUUUUGCCCCCGAAAUCAUCAAUUUCCGCCCCCAAAAUUGAGUUCCUCGAGUUCAUCCUCGGAUUUGGAGCCCGGACAUCCGGCCCGUAGCCCCGGACAUAUGCCCCCCCCGGACAUCCGGCCCGUGCCCCGGACAUCCGGCUCCUGGAGCGCAUUUUCGCGCAAGGUUCUGGACAUCAGGUCCCGGAAAUCCGGCCAAAUCCCCGGAUGUCCGACCCCUGUACAUUUCAGCUUUUCCGUUUCACCGUUUUGUGCAUAACUUCCACAUCCGGAGUCCGAUUUUCGCGUUCUUUAGCUCGUUGAGUAGCUAUUGACAUCCUCUAUCCACCUAGAUAGGUCCCAUCCCCAUUUGACUCCAUCAAAUUUUGACAACUUUGGCAUCUUUGCCUAGGGCUUCCACCAUAACUUCCGCAUAACCACCACCGACUUCCGCAACCUAACCAAUUUUGUUCCCCAUAGCAUUUGUGGUUGUUUGAGUUGUGAUUCGAGUCUCCUAAGGUGUUUCGGCUACUUAGGGACGGUUGCUUCUUCAUCAACCACCACCAUAACUUCCGCAUAGGCUUACCCACAAUACACUUCCGCCAACCCCAACUUAACCCAAUUUUGUUUGUGUUGUGAGUUGUGUCUCCUAAGGUGUUUCGGCUACUUAGGGACCGUGCUUCCAACCCCGAUACCGCGUAUAGUUCACCACCUUACCCUCCACUUCCGCAUUGCCUACUCGCAAAAACCCCAUCAUUGCAUUUCCGCAAUCCCUUUGAGUUCCCGCUACCACCGUUUUGACUUUUGUCCUUGAGAUUUUGAGUUGUGGUUUUUCCGUUUCCUAAGGUGUUUCGGCUACUUAGGGACGAGUCUCCAUCAUCUUGGUAUCUACAUAAAGAACACCGCCACUCAUCAUCGCCAAGGAUGGUAACCUCGACGACACCAUUGUAUAUUCCCCUUGCAAUUGCAUUGAUAACCCCUAGCCCAUUUUGCGUCACUUGCCUAUCGAGACUAGCCAUUUGAGUAUUGCCGGCAACGUUACUUGUGCACAUUAGUGAUCAUACUUCCCAUAGCAUACAUACCAUACCAUAUUGGUAUCAUAUCAUCUCUUGUGUCACAAGUUUGUUCCCGCAUACACACUAUUGCUAUCUUGGUUUGUGCAUUUUGCAAAGUGGCCAUACAUACAAAAAAAUAAUAAGCUUUUAAGCAAAAGAGAAGAGCAAAGAAGCUUGUAAGCAAGUGCCAUAGCAUCAUACCACAUUGCAUAUAAGAUUGUCAUAUCCGAUCAUCUUGGAUCAUCUUGAGAGAAACACCGGGAACCAUACAUACAUAGCAUACUUGGGAUAGAAGUUUAUCCAUUUUGCAUAUCAUAGGUUGUGCACAAGUGUCGUAUCCGCCUAUUGAGCAAUCGUGCUAGCGCCUCUCUUGAUUUGUGCAACGUGCUCAUUCCUUGGUUGCACGACCCCAUUUAUCUAUCCGUGUGUGUGUUUCCGUGUGCCAUUCUUUGCCAUUGGUCUACUUGUUUCACUUGCGAAUUUGUGAAUCUUUUUCAACAUUAUUGACUCUUGCUAACAUUUUGCAUCAAAUAUUUUGUGCCACUAUCCUCACCGAGCUCCACUAUAAGCCUUACUUGUGUAGGUGUGAGAAACCGACAAGAAUUGGUACCAAUUGUGCUAUUUCCUUGUUACACAUUGAGUGAUCAUUGAUCCAUCUUCAACAUCGGUCAAGGUACAUUUGGUAUCGUUCUUCUCUUUCUCCCACUAAUAUUUGCUCGAGUCUUGUGAUGGAUAGGCAAGGUAUUUCACCUUCAGUCUACAACAACAACGACAAGUUCGAUGCCACGAACAACAACUUCGACGCCAAGAUGCAAGCUCAAAUGGAGGAGAUCCAAUCCCAUCAAAUACUACAAGCGAUCUUCCUCAUCUUCGAGAAGACUCUCAAGAGCACAUGCCUCCGAGCUACCAUCUCCGGCAAGGUCACAUCGGCAUCGACACCAUCACCACCACGAACGUGAAGGUCAAGAGCUCAAUACCAACAACCGCUCAACGACUUCACCAUCUCCCUUGGCAUCUUCGCCAAGUGACUUCAAGGCAUCUUCGCCUUCGGAUAUACGGCAUCUUCGCCAACAAGCACCUCAAGACUACGCUUAAGAGAAGCUCCCCAAGCUCAAGUCCGCGACCUCCACGAGCUACUACGACCUCGACACCGACCAUAAGAUUCCUUUCUAUGGGACUCAAGAACCCGAGGAGUAUCUCGAGUGGGAGCACCUAAUGGACGACUACCUCAAGCUACAUCUAGUUCCUCCCGAAGAUCAAGUGAAGUGCGCCACAAGAAACUUCCACGACUACGCCUCGACAUGGUGGCUCCACACACCUUCGGAAACCUACGACAUGAGUUGGCCCAAGACGAAGAAAGCUUUGCGGCGAGAAUUUGUGCCUCCAACCUACACGGAACAACUUCUACGCCAAUUGGAGAACACCAACCAAGGAUCCAAGUCCAUCGACGAGUACUUCAAGGAGAUGAAAAAAUCCUUGCGACGAGCCGGCGUGGACGACCCCAUGUCAAUGAAGUUCCACUUCAUGAUGGGAUUGAACAAUGCCAUCUCCAAGACUAUCUUCCUCGAGAACUACAAGUCCCUCGACGACAACUACAUUGGCGCUCUCAAGGCGGAACAAGAACUCAUGAAGACCAAGGCUUCUCCACCCCAAGCACACUUCUCGAAGACCAAGCUCAAAGACGACGAGCAUGAGGCUAGUACCACCAAGAUGUCCAAGCCCGACGAGCUCCAAGACGAUGCUCCCAAGUUCGACUUCACCGCCUUCCCUCUUUGUGGCAUUGAUGAUGCCGAGUCCUCCACGACUCUUUUUCAAGAUGGUGCGGCGACGAGUACGACUACGGAGACCUUCAAGGACCAAGCUUUUGAGGCAAGCGACAUGGUGACGAGCAAGGAUGAUGCUUCCAUCUUAGGAGGCGAGAGUGAUGAUGUGCCAUCUUCGGCUUUCAUCCACGACGACGGCGAUGAGAUGGUUGAGUAUUUCACUUCGACCACGGCGACGUAUGAUGACUUGAGUGACUUGUGCCACCAUAUUGAGAGUGAGAGUGACUUCACCACUAGCCCCAUAUCCGAUGUGUUGCCCCAAUUCCCAUGUGAGGAGAGCCACAACCCCCACCACUUGAGUGAGAUGAGUGACUCCACCAUACGUGCGAUUGAGUGCACCUACUUUGAGGGAGUGAGUGAACCACCACAUAGAGAGAGUGAGGCCACUUCGAUUUCUAACGACUUAACCUCUACCUCUAUUGUGUCUUCUCAUUUGGUGCUAGGUCUCAUUUGUGAUGACGCGCCGAUUCACGACGACUUCGUCCUUCCUAUGGACAUGACGAUGGCCAUGGUGGAAUAUGAUGCACCCCCCACAUGGUUCCAUCAAGAUGAAGAUGACCACCAUUUGGUCUUUCCCACCUCACCUACACCACUUGAUUGGAAUGACAAAGGUAACAUAGGUGACGGUGAUGCUCUAGUCCCACUAGUGGACAUUCUUGACAUUGAUUGCUUGCAUGAUGUUGAUCCACCUAUUACCUUGCUUCAUGCUAGUGAGAUUUCCCCAUGGGAUGAUUUACCCAUUUAUGAUGAGUAUGAUGAUUGCCAUGUGGAGUCUAUUAGUUGUGAUGCCAUGUUACAUAGGAUUUCUUGUGACAAUUCUUUAGGUCACAUCAUGUUUGACAGUCCGCUUGACUUGUCAUAUGCUAUGCAUGAGAUCAAUCAUAUGUCAUAUUUGCAAUCUCUUCGUAGUGACUAUGCAUAUGCCAGUAAAAUUAACCCAAUUUGCACAUAUGGCAUAGAUGACAAGCCCAUGGUUAUUGGCAUUUGUUUUUCUUGUGACGAUAUUGACAUGCCCCCUUUGCAUCAUUUAUCUCAUAUGCCAUGCCAUGACCACCUAGCUUCGGAUAUGCAUUGUUGUGGAUGUUGUCCAUUUUCUCCAUAUGAUUACAAUAUUGCUCAUGAGGAGACCCCCAUAGUUUCCUCAUACAUUUUAGGAGAUUUUGAUCCAUCCUAUCCAUUGCAUGAUCCCAAUAAUUAUGUGCACAAUAUGCUCCCCAUGAAUCAUAAUGAUAUUGUUGUGCCAUAUACUAGUAUGCUCAAUUAGCAUCCCCAUCGUGUCAUACAUAACAACUAUUCUUUCAUGAUGGAUGACAUGUUCUUAUACCAUGCAUCAAAUUUCUUUGAGCGAUGCUUAUCUUGUGCUAACACUCACUUGCACAUACACAUCAUGAUGGAUGAUGUGUACAUUUACCACGCGCACAAUUUCUUUGGUUUGUGUCUCUUUUGUGUAGGUACCCAUGAAUACUUGUCAACCUCGCAAUCCCACGAGUUGACAAAACGAGCUCUAGAGAGCAAUGAUGACUUGGGAUCCCAUGGAUUGCCUUUCCCACCGCUCACUUCGCGCAAACACUUCACGCAUUUCUUUUAUAUGGCCCUCACAUGGUUAUGGGUUGUUGUCCAUUAUAUAUCCUUUGCCCAUCUUGCCAUGUUCACUUUGCAUGAUAUGCCCAUUACUAUGCCUUUGCCAUGCAUUUGUGACCCAUGCUUUGCAUUACACAUGAUGAUUGAUUCUAGUACUUGUAUGUGUAUUUGCAAGCGUGGUGGAGAUAUUGUUUGUUAUUGCCAUGAUUGCUUUGUGCCCCAUGCCUAUGAUGAUACUAUGAUCUUGAUUUGUAUUCGUGCUUGCGAUAUGUCAUGUACAUUGCCUAUGCCUAUUCUUUACUCACAUGGCAUGAUUGCCAUGAUUCCCUCUAGUGUGUUGCAUCUUCGCUCCACUAGUUUGCACGACUUGAUUACUAUUGCUUGCCUUGUUGCAUCACCAAUGAUUGAUACUUGCUCAUUUCAUUCGGUUGAUGACAACCACCUACAUGCUUUGCACAUGAUUGUUAUUGCUUCUUGUCAUAUCUCUCCAUAUAUUGCCUCUAUCAUGAUAGAUGAUUUGACAUGUAUUGAGUGCAACAAUGCCCUUAGUCUUGAUAAUGAGUUUGCCCCCAUAGCAUUCUCACAUAUAUUUGGAGAUUUUGAUAUAUUUCUUGUGAAGCAUGCUUGCCUUACCUCUUUGCACCAUAUUCCUCGUGCCAUGAAUAUAGCCAUUAUUGCAUCAUAUUAUUCAUGCACUUGUGUUUCUAAUGGCUAUGUGCAAGAGAAGAAAACCAUCAUGAUGGAUGAUGUGUUUAUCUACCAUGCGCAUACGUUCUUUGUUUUGUUGUAUGCAUGUGUAGGAUACUUGGACUUUGUGUCGACUUCCGCUUCACGUGAGUUGACCAUUCGAGCUCUUGAGAGCGAGCCUCAUACAUUCGACCACGACUCGUUUCUACGCCACCUUUCCUACCACUUCGGCAUUGUGAAGAAUGCACAAGGACACACCAUCACGGUGAUAUCUUUCUUGAGCAUGGAUAUUGCGGAUCAUACUACUUGUGUUGCUUGCACCAUGAGACUUAUUGUUCAUCUUGGACCACUUGAUUGCACACUUGAUAGAGAUCUUGCUUCGACUUGUCAUUUUCACCGUCCCAUGCAUCAUGAUAUAUAUGCCUUGUGUGUUGCAUCCAAUUCUUGGAUUACUUGCUCCUCUCAUAUGUUUGGUUGCAACAAUGUCAUCCCUUCACAUAUGCCAUGUCCCAUUGCUUGUCACAUGAUUGACUUGAUUGCCUCACACAUGAAGAACAAUUGCUCUUUUUAUUGUGUUGAGUGCCACACUAUGUUCACUACACCCAAUGCACAUUAUGCUUGGAUUGUCCUGCACUUAACCCAUGUGUUUAGACAUCUCAUCUUCUUAGGUGUCGUGAAUGAUUCCUAUGCCUACCAUAGACCUUUCAUUGAGCGCUUUGCCCAUGCUUGCUAUGAACCUGAGGUAGAUGCUUAUUCUCUUGACACACAUAUUUGCAUCUCUACCUUCAAUUUACAUGCUUGCCCCCAUGAUAUCUUUGCUUGUGCUCGAUUGAUAUACUUACAUGCCAUGUCUCAAUCCUUUGUCACACCAUAUGCUUUGCAUGAUGACGACACUUGUUUGGUGAAUCACCUCUUGAAUGCUUGGUUUUGCACUAACGCUAACCACAUUUGUUUUUCCAAGUGUUUGUUGUCCUUACUCCUUUUGAAGGAAUCACAAAACGGUGCGACAUUGGAGAGUUCCCAUUUCGAGCUUCAAGAUGACACGUACUUGGUGAACGUCCACUUCUACACGGCGAAGCCAUCUCUAUUCCAUGGUGAUUUGGUUUUCGAUCCGAGGUCGGAUCUUUCCCAAGGGAGGGGAGAUGAUGCGGAGCAUCCUAUGGACAUCACCAUAUCAAGAGUCUAUUCGGCGAGUGACACGUGCGACAUCUACUUCACAUACGCAAAGGUGAAUCAUCUCCUUUACACGUGCUCACUUGACCCCUUCGAGGAUGGUAUACUACUUGACACUCCACUCGUGUGCAUGCAUAGGUAUUGUCGGAACACUACGGACGACGAGGAGGAGUGCAAGCGCCAAGGUACAACUACACCAUCCGCGAGGGAGGCCUGGAAGCGACGACGGAAGAAGACGGAGCUGCUGAAGCUACAGCGGCCGGACAUCCGGGCCAAAGGCCGGACAUCCGGCGCCUGUGCAGCCGCCAAGGAGCUGCACCAACACACGGCCAACAGCAUCAGCGGCCGGACAUCUGGCGCCAGCCCCGGACAUCCGGCGCCUCGCCAAAGCCCGGACAUCCUGCCCUUCCCCCGGAAAUCCGGCAUCGACGAUAGAAGACAUCCAAAAGUUUUACCCCCAGCCCGGACAUCCGGCCCCCAGCCCGGACAUCCGGCCCCUCCUGAAGCCCCGGACAUCCGGCCCGUCGCCCGGACAUCUGGCCACCCCUGUCUGCGCACAGUAAGGGCCGAGGCCCGUGUACCCUUCGACCCCCUAGACUAUAUAUACUCUUUCUCCUCCAUCUUUCUAGGGUUAGCAAAGGAUUAGCUCAUAUGUGAGAUAGAGCUUUGGUCAUCCAUUACGGAUCUACUCCACGAGAGAGACCGCGGCCCCUCUACGGAGAAGAUCCACCUUGGAUUCAAGACCUCCGCACGGAGAAGACCCCCAUCAAGACCUCCUUACGGAGAAGAACCGGUUACCUUUGUAUCGUCCUUUGUUGGAUUUGGAUCUUGUAUCUUACCUUUGUGUUCAUCGAUCUAGCGCAUGUGUGAUCUAUUCUUGUUGGUUGAGUGAUUUCUCUCGUGUUCCCCUCGUGUUUCCCUCGUGUUUCCCCUC
This 7897-nucleotide long non-coding RNA is filed under the name Triticum aestivum (bread wheat). RNAcentral describes it as "long non-coding RNA (TAES_LNC024233)". The record is from RNAcentral. Lineage: Eukaryota; Viridiplantae; Streptophyta; Magnoliopsida; Poales; Poaceae.